CCCUUAGAUGUCCUGGGCCGCACGCGCGCUACACUGAUGCAUGCAACGAGUUUAUAACCUUGGCCUGAAAGGUCUGGGUAAUCUUUUGAACGUGCAUCGUGAUAGGGAUAGAUUAUUGCAAUUGUUAAUCUUGAACGAGGAAUUCCUAGUAAACGCGAGUCAUCAGCUCGCAUUGAUUACGUCCCUGCCCUUUGUACACACCGCCCGUCGCACCUACCGAUUGAAUGGUUCGGUGAAGAUCUCGGACUUCGAUAUUUAUUCUUUAUUAAGUUUAUAUUGUGGGAAGUUAUCUAAACCUCAUCAUUUAGAGGAAGGUGAAGUCGUAACA
RNAcentral lists this ribosomal RNA (328 nucleotides) under uncultured eukaryote. RNAcentral's name for it is "partial 18S ribosomal RNA". It matches the Rfam family "Eukaryotic small subunit ribosomal RNA", at positions 1470 to 1796 of the family's 1831-position model. The record is from RNAcentral.